Molecule: ribosomal RNA, 398 nt
Filed under: uncultured bacterium
Lineage: Bacteria
Description: partial 16S ribosomal RNA
Rfam family: Bacterial small subunit ribosomal RNA
Source: RNAcentral
CCUACGGGUGGCUGCAGUGAGGAAUAUUGGUCAAUGGCCGAGAGGCUGAACCAGCCAAGUCGCGUGAGUGAAGACGGCCCUACGGUUUGUAAACCUCUUUUGUCGGGGAGCAAAGCGAGUCACGUGUGACUCAUUGCGAGUACCCGACGAAAAAGCAUCGGCUAACUCCGUUCCAGCAGCCUCGGUAAUACGGGGGAUGCGAGCGUUAUCCGGAUUUAUUGGGUUUAAAGGGUGCGCCGGGGGCGAGUUACGUCAGCGGUAAAAUUUCGGGGCUCAACCCCGACGAGCCGUUGAUACUGGCUGGCUAGAGUGGGAGAGAAGUAUGCGGAAUGCGUGGUGUAGCGGUGAAAUGCAUAGAGAUCACGAAGAAUUCCGAUUGCGAAGGCAGCAUCCCGGAG